Molecule: transfer RNA, 47 nt
Filed under: Volkensinia prostrata
Lineage: Eukaryota; Viridiplantae; Streptophyta; Magnoliopsida; Caryophyllales; Amaranthaceae
Source: RNAcentral
AUUCGGCUUUUACCGAUUGGUUCCGGGUUCGAGUCCCGGGCAACCCA